Molecule: ribosomal RNA, 484 nt
Filed under: uncultured bacterium
Lineage: Bacteria
Description: partial 16S ribosomal RNA
Rfam family: Bacterial small subunit ribosomal RNA
Source: RNAcentral
AUUGAACGCUGGCGGCAGGCCUAACACAUGCAAGUCGAGCGGAUGAAGGGAGCUUGCUCCUGGAUUCAGCGGCGGACGGGUGAGUAAUGCCUAGGAAUCUGCCUGGUAGUGGGGGAUAACGUCCGGAAACGGGCGCUAAUACCGCAUACGUCCUGAGGGAGAAAGUGGGGGAUCUUCGGACCUCACGCUAUCAGAUGAGCCUAGGUCGGAUUAGCUCGUUGGUGGGGUAAAGGCCUACCAAGGCGACGAUCCGUAACUGGUCUGAGAGGAUGAUCAGUCACACUGGGACUGAGACACGGUCCAGACUCCUACGGGAGGCAGCAGUGGGGAAUAUUGGACAAUGGGCGGAAGCCUGAUCCAGCCAUGCCGCGUGUGUGAAGAAGGUCUUCGGAUUGUAAAGCACUUUAAGUUGGGAGGAAGGGCAGUAAGUUAAUACCUUGCUGUUUUGACGUUACCAACAGAAUAAGCACCGGCUAACUUCGUG